CCUACGGGAGGCAGCAGUGAGGAAUAUUGGUCAAUGGGCGAGAGCCUGAACCAGCCAAGUCGCGUGAGGGAGUACUGCCCUAUGGGUUGUAAACUUCUUUUGUCGGGGAGCAAAAGCCGGACGUGUCCGGCUGUGAGAGUACCCGAAGAAAAAGCAUCGGCUAACUCCGUGCCAGCAGCCGCGGUAAUACGGAGGAUGCGAGCGUUAUCCGGAUUUAUUGGGUUUAAAGGGUGCGCAGGCGGAUUUUUAAGUCAGCGGUAAAAUCGUGGGGCUCAACCCCAUCCAGCCGUUGAAACUGGGGAUCUAGAGUGUGCGAGAGGUAUGCGGAAUGCGUGGUGUAGCGGUGAAAUGCAUAGAUAUCACGCAGAACCCCGAUUGCGAAGGCAGCAUACCGGUGCACAACUGACGCUCAGGCACGAAAGCGUGGGUAUCGAACAGGAUUAGAUACCCCUGUAGUC
RNAcentral lists this ribosomal RNA (458 nucleotides) under uncultured bacterium. RNAcentral's name for it is "partial 16S ribosomal RNA". It matches the Rfam family "Bacterial small subunit ribosomal RNA", at positions 338 to 795 of the family's 1533-position model. The record is from RNAcentral.